RNAcentral lists this small nuclear RNA (107 nucleotides) under Marmota monax (woodchuck). Lineage: Eukaryota; Metazoa; Chordata; Mammalia; Rodentia; Sciuridae. The record is from RNAcentral.
GUGCUCGUUUCAGCAGCACACAUACUAAGAUUGGAACAAUACAGAGAAGAUUAGCAUGGCCCCUGCACAAGGAUGACACACAAAUUCAUAAAGCAUUCCAUAUUUUU